Episyrphus balteatus (marmalade hoverfly) is the source of this 742-nucleotide long non-coding RNA. RefSeq lists it as uncharacterized. NCBI's taxonomy places the organism in Eukaryota, Metazoa, Arthropoda, Insecta, Diptera, Syrphidae. The transcript is spliced from 2 exons. The record is from RefSeq and is a predicted model, not a curated record.
GCCAGGCUGUUGUGCAUUUUAAUUUCAACAUUUUGUCUUCUGCUCUGCUCCCUGUGUUCCAUAUUCUCACUUCUCGUUCUCAGCCUCAGUCUUUUUCAACUUCGGUUAGCACUAGGUAAAUUCUCUUCUUGCUUCUUCGUUGGCAAAAUGGCACGUUUUUGUGAUUUUUGCUUUGGUUGUUCUUAAAGCACAUCGCAAUCGCACUAAUGCUUGCAGCCUGAUCGGGGCUAUAGCUUACCAUCAGAGACACCUGAUGAUGUCGACGAAACGAUAGUGGAAGCACCUAUAUGUGGCCGUGUUUGGAUUUACGAGUUUAUCUGGUUAAGGACUGGAUUAUGGCUAUUCUAUGUGUCUAUCAUAGAGCCCCUCUCUCCUGUUCUAGCACAGUUUUCUGCGUUGUUUUUGGUUGAGUUCUAAGUGAAGCUCCAGAGUUCAGUGUAGAUCAAUUAUUGUAAUUUUUUUUUUCUUCUUGGUAGAAUCAAGAGAUGCCAACAAAUGUCUGGAGCAGGAAUGUAGAAAAAUCGUGAAAACAACUCUGGUAAUCAGCGAAAUUCUUUAAACAUGUGGUACCACCAUUGUCGAUAGCAAUGGCGAUGGCUAUGGCGACGAUUUUGACGACACGACGACGACGAGUAUGGUGAAGCACGAGGUGUGGGUAGACAGGUAGACGAACAAGUGUUUUGAAGCUCUUUCUCAUUUGUAGGCAUAAUAAAUUUUAUAAAUACAAAAAAAAAACUUGACA